Pteronotus mesoamericanus is the source of this 396-nucleotide long non-coding RNA. RefSeq lists it as uncharacterized. Lineage: Eukaryota; Metazoa; Chordata; Mammalia; Chiroptera; Mormoopidae. The record is from RefSeq and is a predicted model, not a curated record. The transcript is spliced from 3 exons.
GGAGCAGGGAGAGAAGGAAAUUCUGUCACCGCCGUUAAUACGCACGUGGAGCUGGUGUGAGAGUGGACUGGCUUUAAGGAAAAGCUGUUUGCUUGCAAAUGCAGGCCCGUGGUGACAAAAGAAAGAGCAACGGAAUGGAUAGCGCACAGUGCACACACAGCCUCACCGCUCCUGCUCUGAACAGCGACCCUGGGUGUGUCCUUCGAGGGAAAAAGAGAAAUGCCAAAUCUCAGAACUGGAGAAGCAUAAGGCCACUAAAUGAUGACCUCAGAAAAGAUGCAGUCGCCAUGAAAUGAAUGAAAACAGCUCAAUUUGGAGAAAAAGGUUUCUCCUAUUCAGACUGGCAAAGAUGGAAAAAUAAAAUACAAUGCUUACUGUCGGUGAGACAGCAGGGAA